GGGUCCGAUCAUACCAGCACUAAUGCACCGGAUCCCAUCAGAACUUCGCAGUUAAGAGUGCUUGGGCAAGAGUAGUACUGGGGUGGGUGACCUCCUGGGAAGUCCUCGUGUUGCACCCU
Molecule: ribosomal RNA, 119 nt
Filed under: Cephalotus follicularis
Lineage: Eukaryota; Viridiplantae; Streptophyta; Magnoliopsida; Oxalidales; Cephalotaceae
Source: RNAcentral